RNAcentral lists this ribosomal RNA (253 nucleotides) under uncultured bacterium. RNAcentral's name for it is "partial 16S ribosomal RNA". It matches the Rfam family "Bacterial small subunit ribosomal RNA", at positions 524 to 776 of the family's 1533-position model. The record is from RNAcentral.
UACGGGGGGGGCAAGCGUUGUUCGGAAUUACUGGGCGUAAAGGGUUCGUAGGUGGCCCGCUAAGUCAGACGUGAAAUCCCUCAGCUCAACUGGGGAACUGCGUCUGAGACCGGCAGGCUUGAGUGCAGGAGAGGAACGCGGAAUUCCAGGUGUAGCGGUGAAAUGCGUAGAUAUCUGGAGGAACACCGGUGGCGAAGGCGGCGUUCUGGACUGUUACUGACACUGAGGAACGAAAGCCAGGGGAGCAAACGGG